CACUCCUGCGGGAGGCAGCAGUGGGGAAUAUUGCACAAUGGGCGCAAGCCUGAUGCAGCCAUGCCGCGUGUAUGAAGAAGGCCUUCGGGUUGUAAAGUACUUUCAGCGGGGAGGAAGGCAAUACGGUUAAUAACCGUGUUGAUUGACGUUACCCGCAGAAGAAGCACCGGCUAACUCCGUGCCAGCAGCCGCGGUAAUACGGAGGGUGCAAGCGUUAAUCGGAAUUACUGGGCGUAAAGCGCACGCAGGCGGUCUGUCAAGUCGGAUGUGAAAUCCCCGGGCUCAACCUGGGAACUGCAUUCGAAACUGGCAGGCUUGAGUCUUGUAGAGGGGGGUAGAAUUCCAGGUGGAGCGGUGAAAUGCGUAGAGAUCUGGAGGAAUACCGGUGGCGAAGGCGGCCCCCUGGACAAAGACUGACGCUCAGGUGCGAAAGCGUGGGGAGCAAACAGGAUUAGAAACCCCUGUAGUCCC
Molecule: ribosomal RNA, 471 nt
Filed under: uncultured organism
Description: partial 16S ribosomal RNA
Rfam family: Bacterial small subunit ribosomal RNA
Source: RNAcentral